This 74-nucleotide transfer RNA is filed under the name Diaphorina citri (Asian citrus psyllid). It matches the Rfam family "tRNA". Rfam says of the family: Transfer RNA (tRNA) molecules are approximately 80 nucleotides in length. The record is from Rfam by way of RNAcentral. Lineage: Eukaryota; Metazoa; Arthropoda; Insecta; Hemiptera; Psyllidae.
GCCUAGUUAGCUUAGUUGGUAGUGCGGUCUGCCUUGUAAGCGCUAGGCCGCGGGUUCGAUUCCCGCCCGGGGCG